GUCGUUUUUCUUUUGUGGAUUGAACUAGCUAUGUUUGUCGAAGGAUCUUGAGUCAUACCGUCAUUUGGUUGAAUAUUAUGCCUCCAUUGCUUAGAGGUUAGGAUGGAGGUAGGAACAGUCAUUUAGUUAAAAAAUGGUAUGAUUCAACCUGCUAUAUCCUGAUUUUUCGAAGAAUGGAGGUAGGAGCAGUCAUUUAGUUUUAAGAGGUUAUGAUGGGGGUAGGAGCAGUCAAUGAGCUCUGUAUUUGCUUAAAGAAUAGAAGGGCAAAAUAAACUCUUUUGAAGCUACAUGAAAAUUCCUAGGACUACUUGAGAAGCGACUUAGUAUUUAGCAUAAAGGAUUGGGAGCCCAUUGUCAAGUACUUCAUUGAUUUUCCAUUGGUAUUAGGUGACAAGAAGUGUUGAUAAUGCGCAUGGUCAAGUCAGUCCGCAGGAAGAGAAUAUCGAUGCUUUGAUAAAAGCAAGGUCAACCUUUUCAUAACUCGAGACUUGGGUUGACCUUUCUCUUUUUGUCUUUUUUGUUUUGGAACACGUACUUAUAUGCUGCUUCAUCGUAGUACCCCUUGUUGUUUUCUUAGUAGGCGUAGGAGGUGGCCCUUGGGACACGAUGAGGGAGUUGAUGAUAACAUCCCCGAUCAAGCCUCUGUCAAUUUUAAGGUUCCCACUAGUUUGUCCAUUUGAAUAUUGACAAUACAGCAAGUGUCCAUGUCUGCAUUUUGCUGAAAUUCAGUAGUUUAGGUAAAAAAUUAACUCUUAUACCACAAGUAUUUUGGACCAAGACUUUAACCUCCAGUUACUAAAACCAAUAUGUUUUUUUUUUGUUUCUUUAACAGUUGAUGGAUGGGGAAUGCUUGAAUAAGGGUCCCUCUUCCCCCACCUCGUUACAGUGCAGCUUCUAUCGGCAAUAGCUCAAAACUAUACAACUUAAGCACUUUUCAGCAAAGUACCCCUCCCUACCCUGGAUACAGCAAUUAAGACUGCUCCAUCUUCAAGUUUUGAUCAGGUUAGUAUCUCAAUCAAUAUUCUUGCUACAUCUAUUCCUACUACAUCCUAUAUUGUAAUAUAGUAGAGGACCGACUGCAUCUGAUUUUGGUAGUGCACAAGAUCAUAUUGCAUAAUAGAUGGUGGUUUGUUUGUUUUUUUUACAAAUUGUCAUUUUAGUGGAGUAUCCCACGGUUCUGCUUUGGGUUACGGACUAUGAAGAUCAACGUUAGAUUUUGGUUGUGGAUUCUACGUGCAGCGAGUUGAACUUUUUGUUUGGAUACAUUUUGUUUAAUAUUACAUCGUUAGUAUACUGUUGCUUCGAAUUUUGGUUUU
Molecule: long non-coding RNA, 1316 nt
Organism: Rhododendron vialii
Lineage: Eukaryota; Viridiplantae; Streptophyta; Magnoliopsida; Ericales; Ericaceae
Exons: 2
Source: RefSeq, a predicted model, not a curated record